RNAcentral lists this ribosomal RNA (379 nucleotides) under uncultured cyanobacterium. Its description in RNAcentral is "bacterial SSU rRNA". It matches the Rfam family "Bacterial small subunit ribosomal RNA", at positions 376 to 770 of the family's 1533-position model. The record is from RNAcentral. Lineage: Bacteria; Bacillati; Cyanobacteriota.
CGCAAGCCUGACGGAGCAACGCCCCGUGUGGGAAGAAGGCUCUUGGGCUGUCAACCACUUUUCUCAGGGAAGAAGCCCUGACGGUACCUGAGGAAUCAGCCUCGGCUAACUCCGUGCCAGCAGCCGCGGUAAUACGGAGGAGGCAAGCGUUAUCCGGAAUUAUUGGGCGUAAAGCGUCCGCAGGGGGCACAUCAAGUCUGCUGUUAAAGGCUGGAGCUUAACUCCGGUAGAGCAGUGGAAACUGGUGUGCUAGAGGGCGACAGGGGUAGAGGGAAUUCCCAGUGUAGCGGUGAAAUGCGUAGAGAUUGGGAAGAACACCGGUGGCGAAAGCGCUCUACUGGGUCGCACCUGACCCUCAGGGACGAAAGCUAAGGUAGCG